This 460-nucleotide ribosomal RNA is filed under the name uncultured bacterium. RNAcentral's name for it is "partial 16S ribosomal RNA". It matches the Rfam family "Bacterial small subunit ribosomal RNA", at positions 338 to 795 of the family's 1533-position model. The record is from RNAcentral.
CCUACGGGCGGCAGCAGUGAGGAAUAUUGGUCAAUGGGCUUACGCCUGAACCAGCCAAGUCGCGUGAGGGAAGACUGCCCUAUGGGUUGUAAACCUCUUUUGUCAGGGAGCAACGCCGGCUACGCGUAGCCGGACUGAGAGUACCUGCAGAAAAAGCAUCGGCUAACUCCGUGCCAGCAGCCGCGGUAAUACGGAGGAUGCGAGCGUUAUCCGGAUUUAUUGGGUUUAAAGGGUGCGUAGGCGGAAUGCCAAGUCAGCGGUAAAAUCGCGGGGCUCAACCUCGCCCCGCCGUUGAAACUGGCGUUCUUGAGUGGGCGAGAAGUAUGCGGAAUGCGUGGUGUAGCGGUGAAAUGCAUAGAUAUCACGCAGAACUCCGAUUGCGAAGGCAGCAUACCGGCGCCCAACUGACGCUGAAGCACGAAAGCGUGGGGAUCGAACAGGAUUAGAUACCCGAGUAGUC